CCCUUUAUAAUCAGCCGCAGGAAAGGCAGAAGCCCUAAGCUUGCCCAAUUGGGCAGAGGGAUCCUCCUCCUGGCAUCACCGCUUACAGCUGCCAGGCCAGGCAGGGCUCCACCAUCCCCACCAAUACAGGCAGCUCAGCCUGCAAGGACAUCAUAAAAAGACAUUUCACGGCUUCUCAAAGAGGAUUGAGAUGAAAACACCACCACCCCUAGCUCGGAGGCUGCAGGGAAGCAGGGUUGGGAUAAAGGAUGUGACUCUUCCUCAAGGUGACAGUGCUCCUAAUUGUGUCACUCCAGCCGGCAGGCUGGAGGAUGCGACCCAGUUUUGGUGCCUGCUACGCGGCUCGCAGCGGUGCCGACACGCUGGAAAAGCUAAAUAUAGGAGCUCAGCAGUCGCAGUUGGCCACACCUGGGCAGGACUCACUCUGAGACGGCUGGAGAAUCGAUGCCAUCCACUCAUCGUGCGUUACAGCAUCACUGCAAAGCCUUCUCUGCCUGAGUGGGAAGCGUUACCAAGUCACUUGGAAUAAAAUUGCCACUAAAUGCUGUUUGGGGGAGAAGGAAAAAAAGGAAAAGGGGAAAAAAAAGGGGGGGGGGGUGGAAAAGGCAGCAAAUCCUCGCUCUUUCUCAAGCAUUGUAGGAAAUGAAAACGGCUAUUGCUGCCUGGCAGAGAGUCCAAUUAUGACUAAUGUGCGUUCUCUCCCUGCACAAAGGAUGAAAGGCAUCAGAGCUGGUGGUGACAUUUUCAGACCAGAGAUGUAAGAGCGAAUCCAAGCCUCGUCGCAAGCCCAGCUUUACCCCAAUAAAGAAACACUUUCUGCAGUCAAUUGCCUUGCAGCGUAGCUUGAAGCCCUGCUAUUGAUCUAGCAUCUGUUAUAAGCAAAUCACCAUCAUCCCUGUGCCGUGGCUUCUACAAUGGGAUCUAAAAGCACUUUCCAGAAGAUGGCUGGGGGCUGUUUUGCUGCUCUCAACCACUGUUGCAGGCAGGCAGAGGUUUGCAGGCGACUCCACAAAACUCCCAUAGAAUUUGAAGGCCAGAAAACACCGAUAAAUCACUUGGAAUCCUUCGUCUCCCAACCCUGUAAAGUUCAGCAAGUGAAGUGUGAUCCCUGCUAAGCUUCAGCUGCAGCUCCUGCCCUCACACAGCCAUUUCAUACCCUAAAAUCUCCUUUCCCCACUGAGGUGCCAACAGGCCACUACUCAGUUCUUGCCUUCUGCAAGAUAGACUAUGACAGCCACUAAAAUCCCCCAACUGUUGAAAUGCCCCAGCAUCAGGCAUUUUUCUCCUGUCCCCCAAAGGUUUCCUGGAGUUUGGCUCAUUGAGGUCUGUAUCCUGACAGCUCCUGGACUCCUGGCCACAUCUUGGCAGCACGAAGCAGUUUUGGGCCAGGCACCUUCCUACAAGUUUAGCAAGAAGUGGUCAGAGGGAGGUGAAAUCAGGCUGCCAGUGCCUGCAAAAUUCUCCCUCCCCGCUGCUACAAGCACUUUUUAUCCACUUGGCAGAUUCCUCCAGACUCCAAAGAAGGAGAAAAGGAUGGGAAAUUAAAAAUAAAUGAACCAAGAGAUACACAUCCAUCAGGAGCCAGGCGUUGUCAGCUCGGGUCCCUGUGCAACUACUUCUUUAAUCAAAACCUCAUGCAGUUUAAACACUUGACAGAAGCCUAGAACAGGGAUCUUGUUACCCUGAACAGGAAAAAGCUGCAACCUUGAAGGAUAAAAAUCACAUCUUGUCUGAUGGGGUCUAUUUUCUUUAAAAUCAGGCUAAAUUACACUAAGCCCCUUCCUAACCGUGACAGACUCCUGCAAGGGUGGCAGGAGGGGGUCAUCAGAGCAGACAGGAGGACCAAGCUCUUGGGUGGCAGCUAAAGAUGUGCCAUAUCUCAAUCAGCCUGUGACGCCAGCUGCAAAUUUUUAAGAGGCUGAAAUCAAGAAAAAGAUUGCUGAUGGAUGUGCUCCCCACUUGAAACUCACUUGCGUGGUGACCAACGUCAGACUACCUGGCUCACAGCUAUGCCACUUAGCUGUUCAGAAACCUUCCAGCUUUCUGGAAACUCCCUGAGUUCCAAGGCUCAGCCAGCUCUUUAAAUCCUCCUUCAUCAGGUUAUCUGCGCCUCCUGACUUGAAAACGUUUGUCCCCAAGGAGCUGCUAUUUAAUAUCUUCCUUAGCUACCCAAGGAUGGGAAGUUUCUCCCAUCACUCUGCAGCUUUCCAAACACAGAUGGGAUUUAUUGGAGUUUCUGCUGCUCUGACCUCAUUAACAUUUCAUGGCACAGCUCCAGCAAUGCACCUACUCCUCGCCAGGUGCCCAUCAACAGCCUCAUGGCAGCUCAGGUCUGGCUGCGUUGAACAUCCUUGGGGGAGUUUAAAGUGACAUCACCUCUAUAACAGUUCUAGAUCUGUGUUUUGGGGCCUUAUCUGCACUAUAUCUCAUAUAGGAUCAUGGCUCCCAGCAGCUCCUUUUGUAACAGCCACGGUGGGUGGGAAAAGAGACAACACAAGAAGGAGAGCAAGAAAUAAACAAGAGAAUAGUGCAGGAACACAUCCAAACUGUGCCAAGGACAAUGUAACCUGGGGGACCACCCAGGGAACAAGUGGGAUUUUAAUUGGCAUGGAGAGAGGGAAGCAGAAGAGGGAUUGCAAGCCCUUGGAUUGGUUGGGAAAUGCAGCAGACAACCCCAGGUGAGACAUUCAUGGUACCCCCUGGCACUUCCUGCAGGGAAGAGGGUGGGAACUGGAAAUUCUGAGGCUAUUUCUGGUGAGUUUUUCUCCCCUGCGGAGAACAGGAGGGAGCAUCAGCACAGCCUGGCUGGAGUCCUGCAAAUUGCCCCACUUAGGCUCUGUUCCUCUAAAUUGCUCUCUUAACCAAAGCACAUAAAUCGACCUGACAAGCAUCAGGGUUUUCUCCAGAGAGAUGCUCCUCUACAGCUUCUGGAGUUUAUGCUUCAACCCCAAACUCUGCAGCUUUUUGUCCCGAAGAGAUGUGCCUGCUGCUUACCAGGGUAAACACCUCACUAUGCUGGAGGCCUCAAGAUGUGUCUCUCCAUUGGCCAGGCACCACAUGGAGCCAGGGUUUCCCCACCACAUAUUUAUUCAGAGGCACUGUGCAGCGAGGACAACCCAGAGCCAAACUUUGCAAGAAGCAGACCUGGCCAGAGUUCAGCAGAAACAGAGAAUUAAGACACUGAAUUAAAUCAAUGCAUCCAAAUUUCCAUCCAAAUCAGGAAUUUCAUGCACAGGAGGGUUUUUGACCAGGGUCCUACAUUACUUGUUAAGCAGAGAGAGCAGAGAAUGGUUGGCACUGCACAGGAAUCUAAGUUUUGCACUAAAGCUCUUGCAAGCCCAUAGUAAUUCAGAUGCAGAAGCAAUCUCAGCUGCUGGGAAGGAACUCAAACUGCAAAAGACAAAGGAAGCCUGUGCAGGGAUGGAGAGAAGGAAAGAAGAGCUGCUGGCUAGGUGCAGGCAACGCUGAUCACACAGAAAUAAGGAUGGAGAGGAGAUAAAGGAACCAGGUCAGGGAAAAUCCAGGGAUGGCUGUGGCUAUGCCUGCUAAAACACACCCAAUAGCAGGCACUUGCUGAAGGCUGCAGGUCCCACAGCCCUCCUGCAAAAAAGCUUCCAGCAGUGUCCGGUAUGAGUCCUACACAAGGACUGGCAAAGCCUAAAAACCCCAGGGAUGUGCUCAGGGACUUGGCCAGAGCAAGAGCAUGGACAGAGGCACACGGACUGCAAGAGUCACCCGGCCCGUUACAGCCAGGGAAAACAUCUAGUGCCACGCUCACCUCCCUAGAGCUUUCCACCAACACACCAGCUCAGGUUGCUCACUACACACCCAUGCAGAGAUGCCUUCUGCUCCUGGGCACAGGCCCUGCACGUCUUGCUUGCAGUGCCACCUGCCGCCAACAGCUCUUCAGUCGCUGGAAAGGGACAACAGCAACGCAGAGCAAUGAACUUCCUGCUGUUACAUCAGCUCGCCCUGUCCUUUAGCAGCAGCCAAACUCUUGAUCCAAAAAGCAGUGCUAUUUCCCAAGCUGCAGGAAUCCCACGACUGGCAGGCGUAGCAGCAGACGCUAAUAAAGCACUUUUUUUCAUUUCCCUUUAAUGCAGUUUGUCACUGGAGCCGGUGUCUCUCUCUCUCCCCUCCUCCCUCCAGAGACCACAUCCCAAAUCUUCUUAUUCGUUGAUUCUUUAUGCUACGUGAUGACUCCACAGUCGAAAUAAUGUUCACAUUUCAGACACCGUGAGACUUUUUAAUAAGGAGUUGCAUGAAAAAUUAGGGAGGCUGCAACAAAGAGCUCCGACGGAGGUUUCCAAAGUAACUCACAGCCAGGAGAGCCUCACUUUUCCAAAGCCCAGCAUGAGACAAUCUCAAGAGCCCCCACGCUCAGAGGGAGCUGAGCCCUGCCCCUCUGGAAAAAUAAGGCCUUUUUAAGGAGGCUUCCCCAGGGUGAGAAUCCCUGCAGGGAGGUUUGGCGGGUGGUUCUGGGAAUCUUGGCUGAGACCACAUCCCGUUCCCAGGAGCGCUCACGAGAAGUUUCACCCCAGACCUUGGCUGUGCUGCAUGGUGAGACUCAGCUCAUGCUGCUGCCAGCCUGGGCUCCCAGCUUGUCACAUCAGCCCUGCAAUGCUCCAACAGUGAUUCUCCCUGUACUUGCAGGGAGGUAGCUAAAGGGCAGCAAAGACUCUCCCAGUCUUGGCUGCAGAAGUGCUAAGGUACCUGCAGAGACAGCGAGCA
This is a long non-coding RNA of Pogoniulus pusillus (Red-fronted tinkerbird), 4731 nucleotides long. RefSeq lists it as uncharacterized. The transcript has 2 exons. Lineage: Eukaryota; Metazoa; Chordata; Aves; Piciformes; Lybiidae. The record is from RefSeq and is a predicted model, not a curated record.